UGCCUGAUUAUAUAAGACUGUUGUACAGUGUGAAUGAAAGAUUGUCUUAUCUUGGAAAAAAAAAAAAAGAGCUUGAACAGGAUCAUUAAGGCACUAGAUGAGGGACUAGAAGCCAUCCUGGGAGAAGAUCCUUUACUUUAGAAGCCCUGUGUGAUCCCAUAUCCUAACUGAUCCUUUGUGAGUGUGGAUUCUUUACCUCUGAGCCACCGGAGAAGCCCAUGUUUCUAGCCAAAUGAGACCCAUUUUGGACAUCUGACCCCUGGAAAGCUAAGCUUCCAGCUCCCAGGCCCAAAUGACUAUCCCAACCUAACCGCCAAAUCUGGAUUCCAAUCAGCGUAAAUACAGAAGGCAAGAAAGUCACCAACAGUAAAUGUGUGUGUUUAUUUACAGCAUGUCCCUGGGUUCCAGUUUCAGAGGACUUCUGAACUGCUGUGCUUCUUGUGUCUGCUGUAAGAUGUCUGCAGCUAUCUUCUCAUAUAGACAGCUUCUUUCGGGGUCAAGUGGUAACUGCAGAACACAGUCCUCCGUACCUCAGUCCAGCAUCCCCUUCUGCUGCUCCCCUGCCUGCCGAGGAG
Molecule: non-coding RNA, 575 nt
Organism: Odocoileus virginianus texanus
Lineage: Eukaryota; Metazoa; Chordata; Mammalia; Artiodactyla; Cervidae
Source: RefSeq, a predicted model, not a curated record